This 456-nucleotide ribosomal RNA is filed under the name uncultured Marinobacter sp. Its description in RNAcentral is "bacterial SSU rRNA". It matches the Rfam family "Bacterial small subunit ribosomal RNA", at positions 9 to 439 of the family's 1533-position model. The record is from RNAcentral. Lineage: Bacteria; Pseudomonadati; Pseudomonadota; Gammaproteobacteria; Pseudomonadales; Marinobacteraceae.
GAGUUUGAUCAUGGCUCAGAUUGAACGCUGGCGGCAUGCCUAACACAUGCAAGUCGAGCGGAAACGAAGAUAGCUUGCUAUCUAGGCGUCGAGCGGCGGACGGGUGACGUAACGCGUGGGAAUCUACCUGGUAGCUGGAGGGACAACAUUCGGCCAACGGAUGCUAAUACCGCAUACGCCUUCAGCGGGGAAAACAGUGGGAUCUUCGGACCUUGUGCUAUCAGAUGAGCCCGCGUCUGUGAUUAGCUAGUUCGUGGGGUAAUGGCCCACCUAAGGCAACUGAUCCGUAGCUGGUCUGAAAGGAUGAUCAGCCACUAUCAGGGACUGAGACACUCGGCCCGAACUCCUACGGGAGGCAUGCAGUGGGGAAUAUUGGACAAAUGGGAGGCAAACCGUGAAUCCAGCAAUGCCGACGAUGUUGUGAAUGAAGGCCUAUGGGUUGUAAAGCACUUUCAG